Molecule: ribosomal RNA, 433 nt
Filed under: uncultured bacterium
Lineage: Bacteria
Description: partial 16S ribosomal RNA
Rfam family: Bacterial small subunit ribosomal RNA
Source: RNAcentral
AACGAACGCUGGCGGCAGGCCUAACACAUGCAAGUCGAGCGAGAUCUUCGGGUCUAGCGGCGGACGGGUGAGUAACGCGUGGGAAUAUGCCCUUCUCUGCGGAAUAGCCUCGGGAAACUGAGCGUAAUACCGCAUACGCCCUUUGGGGGAAAGAUUUAUCGGAGAAGGAUUAGCCCGCGUUGGAUUAGGUAGUUGGUGGGGUAACGGCCUACCAAGCCGACGAUCCAUAGCUGGUUUGAGAGGAUGAUCAGCCACACUGGGACUGAGACACGGCCCAGACUCCUACGGAAGGCAGCAGUGGGGAAUCUUAGACAAUGGGGGCAACCCUGAUCUAGCCAUGCCGCGUGAGUGAUGAAGGCCUUAGGGUUGUAAAGCUCUUUCAGCUGGGAAGAUAAUGACGGUACCAGCAGAAGAAGCCCCGGCUAACUCCGUG